RNAcentral lists this long non-coding RNA (371 nucleotides) under Phoenix dactylifera (date palm). Its description in RNAcentral is "long non-coding RNA (PDAC_LNC004693)". The record is from RNAcentral. Lineage: Eukaryota; Viridiplantae; Streptophyta; Magnoliopsida; Arecales; Arecaceae.
UUUCCAAUAUGUGUAGUUUAUGCCAUUAAAUAGUGGAGGUCGAUCAAUUAAUUGUCCCUCUCCUAGAAAACUAUCUAUUUGAGUUGUCAUGAUCUUUGGCUCUUUGACGGUUAGGUCAAAAUCAAAAAGGCAAGGAAUUAUAGAGCACCUGCUCUGAUACCACUUGUUGCCCAAGGUGACAAUCCAAGAGGGGGGGUGAAUUGGGUUUUUCUAAAUUUUUGGUGCUUUAAAUGUUUUCUUAGUUAAGUGCGGUGAAUGCUUUCUUAAAUUACUUGAAUGAAUUAAACUAGAGUAAAGAUGAAAGAUAAUGCAAGAAUAAGCAUAAGAACAAGCACAACACAAACACAACGAUAUAUAGUGGUUCGGUGCAC